Molecule: unclassified non-coding RNA, 184 nt
Filed under: Glomus sp.
Lineage: Eukaryota; Fungi; Glomeromycota; Glomeromycetes; Glomerales; Glomeraceae
Description: partial contains 5.8S ribosomal RNA and internal transcribed spacer 2
Rfam family: 5.8S ribosomal RNA (bases 1-65)
Source: RNAcentral
GUGAAUCAUCGAAUUUUUGAACGCAAAUUGCACUCUCUUCGGAGAGUAUGCCUGUUUGAGGGUCAGCCUAAAAAAAAUCGACAUCGUUGCUGUUGCGCGGUGACGUUCGUCGGAAAUUGGGUUAUCUUAAACCUUUUGGAUUUUUGGGCUUAAAAUUUUACUUUUAGUUUCGUUUAUUGUUCUU